RNAcentral lists this ribosomal RNA (504 nucleotides) under uncultured bacterium. Its description in RNAcentral is "partial 16S ribosomal RNA". It matches the Rfam family "Bacterial small subunit ribosomal RNA", at positions 29 to 523 of the family's 1533-position model. The record is from RNAcentral.
AUUGAACGCUGGCGGCAGGCCUAACACACGCAAGUCGGACGGUAGCACAGAGAGCUUGCUCUUGGGUGACGAGUGGCGGACGGGUGAGUAAUGUCUGGGGAUCUGCCCGAUAGAGGGGGAUAACCACUGGAAACGGUGGCUAAUACCGCAUAACGUCGCCAGACCAAAGAGGGGGACCUUCGGGCCUCUCACUAUCGGAUGAACCCAGAUGGGAUUAGCUCGUAGGCGGGGUAAUGGCCCCCCUAGGCGACGAUCCCUAGCUGGUCUGAGAGGAUGACCAGCCACACGGGAACUGAGACACGGUCCAGACUCCUACGGGAGGCAGCAGUGGGGAAUAUUGCACAAUGGGCGCAAGCCUGAUGCAGCCAUGCCGCGUGUAUGAAGAAGGCCUUCGGGUUGUAAAGUACUUUCAGCGGGGAGGAAGGCGGUGAGGUUAAUAACCUCGCCGAUUGACGUUACCCGCAGAAGAAGCACCGGCUAACUCCGUGCCAGCAGCCGCGGUAA